Molecule: ribosomal RNA, 418 nt
Filed under: Fusarium subglutinans
Lineage: Eukaryota; Fungi; Ascomycota; Sordariomycetes; Hypocreales; Nectriaceae
Also listed under: 5 other names
Description: LSU rRNA
Rfam family: Eukaryotic large subunit ribosomal RNA
Source: RNAcentral
CCAACAGGGAUUGCCCUAGUAACGGCGAGUGAAGCGGCAACAGCUCAAAUUUGAAAUCUGGCUCUCGGGCCCGAGUUGUAAUUUGUAGAGGAUACUUUUGAUGCGGUGCCUUCCGAGUUCCCUGGAACGGGACGCCAUAGAGGGUGAGAGCCCCGUCUGGUUGGAUGCCAAAUCUCUGUAAAGUUCCUUCGACGAGUCGAGUAGUUUGGGAAUGCUGCUCUAAAUGGGAGGUAUAUGUCUUCUAAAGCUAAAUACCGGCCAGAGACCGAUAGCGCACAAGUAGAGUGAUCGAAAGAUGAAAAGCACUUUGAAAAGAGAGUUAAAAAGUACGUGAAAUUGUUGAAAGGGAAGCGUUUAUGACCAGACUUGGGCUUGGUUAAUCAUCUGGGGUUCUCCCCAGUGCACUUUUCCAGUCCAG